Long non-coding RNA from Cyanistes caeruleus (blue tit), 301 nucleotides. RefSeq lists it as uncharacterized. Lineage: Eukaryota; Metazoa; Chordata; Aves; Passeriformes; Paridae. The record is from RefSeq and is a predicted model, not a curated record.
GAACACAGUGGGGAGAGGGCACUAAGCUCCCCAGCCUUCCAGAGGAGAAGGUCCUGCAAGACUCUGACUGUUCUGGAUUUGUGUGGCCAGGUUUAGGGGGUGGGGUGGCUUUUGUGAGAAUCUUCCAGAAGGUGCCCCUGUGUCCAGCAGAGCCAGUGCCAGCCAGCUCCAGGAUGGACAUUCCACUGUCUGAGGAUGAGCCCGUCAGAAACAGUGGUAGAGCCCCAAGGGGACCCAGCUUUCAGUCAGAAAUCAGCGAGGGGUUCCCAUGUUGCUAUAAUAAAACAAAUGUAACCAUUUU